UUAAACUGAAGAGUUUGAUCCUGGCUCAGAUUGAACGCUGGCGGCAUGCCUUACACAUGCAAGUCGAACGGCAGCACGGGUGCUUGCACCUGGUGGCGAGUGGCGAACGGGUGAGUAAUACAUCGGAACAUGUCCUGUAGUGGGGGAUAGCCCGGCGAAAGCCGGAUUAAUACCGCAUACGAUCCACGGAUGAAAGCGGGGGACCUUCGGGCCUCGCGCUAUAGGGUUGGCCGAUGGCUGAUUAGCUAGUUGGUGGGGUAAAGGCCUACCAAGGCGACGAUCAGUAGCUGGUCUGAGAGGACGACCAGCCACACUGGGACUGAGACACGGCCCAGACUCCUACGGGAGGCAGCAGUGGGGAAUUUUGGACAAUGGGCGAAAGCCUGAUCCAGCAAUGCCGCGUGUGUGAAGAAGGCCUUCGGGUUGUAAAGCACUUUUGUCCGGAAAGAAAUCCUUGGCUCUAAUACAGCCGGGGGAUGACGGUACCGGAAGAAUAAGCACCGGCUAACUACGUGCCAGCAGCCGCGGUAAUACGUAGGGUGCGAGCGUUAAUCGGAAUUACUGGGCGUAAAGCGUGCGCAGGCGGUUUGCUAAGACCGAUGUGAAAUCCCCGGGCUCAACCUGGGAACUGCAUUGGUGACUGGCAGGCUAGAGUAUGGCAGAGGGGGGUAGAAUUCCACGUGUAGCAGUGAAAUGCGUAGAGAUGUGGAGGAAUACCGAUGG
This 723-nucleotide ribosomal RNA is filed under the name Mesorhizobium sp. RNAcentral describes it as "bacterial SSU rRNA". It matches the Rfam family "Bacterial small subunit ribosomal RNA", at positions 1 to 715 of the family's 1533-position model. Lineage: Bacteria; Pseudomonadati; Pseudomonadota; Alphaproteobacteria; Hyphomicrobiales; Phyllobacteriaceae. The record is from RNAcentral.